This 402-nucleotide ribosomal RNA is filed under the name uncultured prokaryote. RNAcentral describes it as "bacterial SSU rRNA". It matches the Rfam family "Bacterial small subunit ribosomal RNA", at positions 355 to 774 of the family's 1533-position model. The record is from RNAcentral.
UGGGGAAUAUUGGACAAUGGGCGCAAGCCUGAUCCAGCCAUGCCGCGUGAGUGAUGAAGGCCUUAGGGUUGUAAAGCUCUUUCAGUAGGGAAGAUAAUGACGGUACCUACAGAAGAAGCCCCGGCUAACUUCGUGCCAGCAGCCGCGGUAAUACGAAGGGGGCUAGCGUUGUUCGGAUUUACUGGGCGUAAAGCGCACGUAGGCGGAUUGGUCAGUUAGGGGUGAAAUCCUGGAGCUCAACUCCAGAACUGCCUUUAAUACUGCCAGUCUCGAGUACGGAAGAGGUAAGUGGAACUCCUAGUGUAGAGGUGGAAUUCGUAGAUAUUAGGAAGAACACCAGUGGCGAAGGCGGCUUACUGGUCCGGUACUGACGCUGAGGUGCGAAAGCGUGGGGAGCAAACA